RNAcentral lists this ribosomal RNA (253 nucleotides) under uncultured bacterium. Its description in RNAcentral is "partial 16S ribosomal RNA". It matches the Rfam family "Bacterial small subunit ribosomal RNA", at positions 524 to 776 of the family's 1533-position model. The record is from RNAcentral.
UACGGGGGGGGCAAGCGUUGUUCGGAAUUACUGGGCGUAAAGGGCUCGUAGGUGGCCAACUAAGUCAGACGUGAAAUCCCUCGGCUUAACCGGGGAACUGCGUCCGAUACUGGUUGGCUUGAAUCCGGGAGAGGGAUGUGGAAUUCCAGGUGUAGCGGUGAAAUGCGUAGAUAUCUGGAGGAACACCGGUGGCGAAGGCGACAUCCUGGACCGGUAUUGACGCUGAGGCGCGAAAGCCAGGGGAGCAAACGGG